AUUCCAGCUCCAAUAGCGUAUAUUAAAGUUGUUGCAGUUAAAAAGCUCGUAGUUGGAUUUCAGUCUUAAUUCGUCUGGCCCGCUCCCUUGAGGAGCCGAGUGCCGGUUGCGAAUUGGACUUCCUUCUAGCAUGAAUCUCCUACCGUUAUGCGGCCGGGAAGGACAUCUGGAUCAUUUACUUUGAAGAAAUUAGAGUGUUCAAAGCAAGCUUACGCUGUGAAUAUAUUAGCAUGGAAUAAUAACAUAGGACUCGGGUUCUAUUUUGUUGGUUUCUAGGACUCAAGUAAUGAUUGAUAGGGACAGUUGGGGGUGCUGCUAUUAUAUGGCCAGAGGUGAAAUUCACGGAUUCAUAUAAGAGCAACUUAUGCGAAAGCAUUCACCAAGGAUGUCUUCAUCG
Molecule: ribosomal RNA, 397 nt
Filed under: Chlorarachniophyceae sp.
Lineage: Eukaryota; Cercozoa; Chlorarachniophyceae
Description: partial small subunit ribosomal RNA
Rfam family: Eukaryotic small subunit ribosomal RNA
Source: RNAcentral